This 493-nucleotide ribosomal RNA is filed under the name uncultured bacterium. RNAcentral describes it as "partial 16S ribosomal RNA". It matches the Rfam family "Bacterial small subunit ribosomal RNA", at positions 29 to 523 of the family's 1533-position model. The record is from RNAcentral.
AUUGAACGCUGGCGGUAUGCUUUACACAUGCAAGUCGAACGGUAACAGGUUAAGCUGACGAGUGGCGAACGGGUGAGUAAUGCAUCGGAACGUGCCCGAUCGUGGGGGAUAACGCAGCGAAAGCUGCGCUAAUACCGCAUACGAUCUGAGGAUGAAAGCGGGGGACCGUAAGGCCUCGCGCGAUCGGAGCGGCCGAUGUCAGAUUAGGUAGUUGGUGGGGUAAAGGCCCACCAAGCCGACGAUCUGUAGCUGGUCUGAGGGGACGACCAGCCACACUGGGACUGAGACACCGCGCAGACUCCUACGUGAGGCAGCAGUGGGGAAGUUUGGACAAUGGGCGAAAGCCUGAUCCAGCAAUGCCGCGUGCAGGAAGAAGGCCUUCGGGUUGUAAACUGCUUUUGUACGGAGCGAAAAGGUCCUUUCUAAUACAGGGGGCUCAUGACGGUACCGUAAGAAUAAGCACCGGCUAACUACGUGCCAGCCGCCGCGGUAA